GAAAAUACCUGGCAGGGGAGAUACCAUGGUCACGAAGGUGGUUCUCCUAGUGCAAGGUUCAUCCAUUGCACUGCGGAUGUGCUAACCCCUGCGAUUUUCCCAAAUGUGGGAAACUUGACUGCAUAAUUUGUGGUAGUGGGGGACUGUGUUCAUACUUUCCCCUA
Molecule: small nuclear RNA, 164 nt
Filed under: Carlito syrichta (Philippine tarsier)
Lineage: Eukaryota; Metazoa; Chordata; Mammalia; Primates; Tarsiidae
Description: U1 spliceosomal RNA (ENSTSYG00000029393.1)
Rfam family: U1 spliceosomal RNA
About the family: U1 is a small nuclear RNA (snRNA) component of the spliceosome (involved in pre-mRNA splicing). Its 5' end forms complementary base pairs with the 5' splice junction, thus defining the 5' donor site of an intron. There are significant differences in sequence and secondary structure between metazoan and yeast U1 snRNAs, the latter being much longer (568 nucleotides as compared to 164 nucleotides in human).
Source: Rfam by way of RNAcentral